GUCCUUGUAGCUUAGACCAAAGCACAGCACUGAAGAUGCUAAGACGGACACCACCCUCCCAAGGAC
RNAcentral lists this transfer RNA (66 nucleotides) under Cacatua goffiniana (Tanimbar cockatoo). RNAcentral describes it as "tRNA-Phe". It matches the Rfam family "tRNA". From Rfam's summary of the family: Transfer RNA (tRNA) molecules are approximately 80 nucleotides in length. RNAcentral also lists the same sequence under 1 other name. Lineage: Eukaryota; Metazoa; Chordata; Aves; Psittaciformes; Cacatuidae. The record is from RNAcentral.